AAGACAAAAGAGAGAAGACUGAAGAGUGGUAAAGCUUGUGGUGUGAGAUUUGGAUUGUUGUAAGACACAUUUGCGCUGCAUCCUGAAAACAGUGAAGUGGAGAUGAUUUUGCUCUUUCAGCAGAUAGAGAGCCCUUCCGAAACAGAUAAACACGCACAGUCCUCAGUGGAGGCCCUCUACCGGCCUCGUCUACUCCUGAGCACACCUCUUGGACUCCCUUGGCUAAAGCCCACAGCUGAAGCUUGAGGGUUCCUUUUACCUUCCAGCUGGCAGGGACGAGGAUGUGCUUUAGCAAGAGCAAAGAUUUUCUACUGAUAAUAUUCAAAUGCAAAGCUGUCCUGUUGAUUUGGGGGUGGAUUAAAAGUAAUUAUAAAAUGUUAGAUUCUAAGAAGAGAGUAGAGCCUAAUUUGGUCAUCACUUUUGUGGUAACAUACUUCUUUCUUUGCUGCUAACUGGAUAUUGUCUUUGAAAAUGCUUUGACGUCUGCCAGGUGGCUCCAGCCAGCACCUACUCUUUUUUGCUUAGCUUACUAUGCCUAAUAUCCAGUGUCUGAAUCACAGAUUUGGGAUCUUUUAAAAACGGAAUUUGGCGCUUGAUUAUAGAGUCUCAUACUAUCUUCACAUCUUACUUUCUUGCAUAAAUUUUGAGUUUUAAGGACAAAGGCCACUCCAUAUUCCUCCUACUCUGAUUAACUCCCAGCAUGGAACAAGCAUGUAGUAGAGUGGGAAAUCUUUGUUGGAUUUAAUCAACUGAAUGGAACCCUGGGUUUUUGUAUGAUGUCUAGAUAGUUUUAUGAAUAAAAUAGGUGUUUACUAAAUAAUUGUUUAGUAAAUGGCUAACCCAUCCCAGCCUCACUGGGAAAGAGAGGGAAAGGGGAGCUCCUCUCCCUUUUGCUGUGGUCAAAUAAAUACAUGAUUUAUUUGCUUUACUCUCUCUUUUAUAUCAACUAGUAAUUUUCAUAUCAUUAAAUUUUCUUUAAGGGAAGAGGUCAAAGGAAUAUCUUUAAAAGGGAUCCAGGGCCUCUCAGAGUUCACCUGAGCUUUCCCAAGUCUGGUUUGUUCUCUCUACCCUGCUGCUACUACUGCAAGUGACUUUCACAAGAUGCUUCUGAGCAUAGCAUUGCUCUGCUGUGACCACUGCAGAUGUCAAGAGAAUUUCUGCCUUUUGGAACUUGGACAAUAUUGGCCACCUACCCAGAGAGAGGAGAAGGAUAAUCCAGACAUAAAGUGUGACCCUGGAUGGGUGAAGCAUGGCUCUGGAACCAGCAGCAGCAGCAGCAGCAGCAGCAGCAAUAUCUUCCUAAUCCCUAGGUCGUUCCCAGAGCAAACGGUUCAGGGGGAAGCUUACUGAUUUCCGGUCCUCUGACUCAGGCAGAGUUGGCA
Long non-coding RNA from Homo sapiens (human), 1382 nucleotides. The record is from Ensembl. Lineage: Eukaryota; Metazoa; Chordata; Mammalia; Primates; Hominidae.